This 202-nucleotide non-coding RNA is filed under the name Cryptosporidium parvum. The record is from RNAcentral. Lineage: Eukaryota; Apicomplexa; Conoidasida; Eucoccidiorida; Cryptosporidiidae.
UCUUACUAAUACCAGUCUCUGGAUGAACCUGCUUCAAAACCUUGUAGAUGUAAAGAGCAAAGGAUUCUGUUCUCUUACGUCUCUUUCUCUUGCCACCGUCUGCUGGAGACUUUCCUGCAGUCUUCUUUGCUGCUUGCUGCUUCUGGGCUGGUCCCUUAAUUGAUUUACCACUUUUUCCUGACAUGGCGAUUUUAUUAUUCAA